AUGCGCUUCGUCCGCAACAUCACGGUGCGGUCCACGACGACGCUCCCCGGUGGUGAUGAGGAGUGCGCGGUGUUGCAUGAGGUGUCGGCGCUGCUCUUCUCGUUCCUCCUAGUCUUCAAGAGCCUCUCGAACUACGACCUCGUGGACCUCACCGCCGACAACCGCACCCGCUGCUUCCGGCACCUCCAGGUGGGCCUCACCUGCCACGCCGAGUUCAGCAUCGACCCGCUCCGCGUGGCGCCGUUCGCAAAGCUGGCCAACACGUGCAACGCGAUGCUGGGCGUGCGUGGCGCCGGGCUGACCAACAUGGUGUUCCCGCCCACGUGA
This 327-nucleotide ribosomal RNA is filed under the name Triticum aestivum (bread wheat). Its description in RNAcentral is "partial small subunit ribosomal RNA". Lineage: Eukaryota; Viridiplantae; Streptophyta; Magnoliopsida; Poales; Poaceae. The record is from RNAcentral.